This 320-nucleotide ribosomal RNA is filed under the name uncultured eukaryote. RNAcentral describes it as "partial 18S ribosomal RNA". It matches the Rfam family "Eukaryotic small subunit ribosomal RNA", at positions 1470 to 1796 of the family's 1831-position model. The record is from RNAcentral.
CCCUUAUAUGUUCUGGGCCGCACGCGCGCUACACUGAUGCAUUCAACGAGUUUCUUCCUGGUCCGAGAGGAAUGGGUAACCUUUUGAAAGUGCAUCGUGAUAGGGAUAGACUAUUGCAAUUAUUGGUCUUCAACGAGGAAUUCCUAGUAGACGUAGUUCAUCAGACUGCAUCGAUUACGUCCCUGCCCUUUGUACACACCGCCCGUCGCUCCUACCGAUUGAGUGCUCCGGUGAACAAUUUGGACUGCUUUGAUUCGAUUAGAAUUUGAAGCGGAAAGUUUAGUGAACCUUAUCACUUAGAGGAAGGAGAAGUCGUAACA